UACGUAGGGCGCGAGCGUUGUCCGGAUUCACUGGGCGUAAAGGGCUCGUAGGCGGCCUGUCGCGUCGGCUGUGAAAGUCCGGAGCUCAACUCCGGGAUUGCAGCCGAUACGGGCAGGCUAGAGGGCGGUAGAGGGGAGUGGAAUUCCCGGUGUAGCGGUGAAAUGCGCAGAUAUCGGGAGGAACACCAGUGGCGAAGGCGGCUCCCUGGGCCGUCCCUGACGCUGAGGAGCGAAAGCGUGGGGAGCAAAC
RNAcentral lists this ribosomal RNA (250 nucleotides) under uncultured bacterium. Its description in RNAcentral is "partial 16S ribosomal RNA". It matches the Rfam family "Bacterial small subunit ribosomal RNA", at positions 524 to 773 of the family's 1533-position model. The record is from RNAcentral.